AAACAAGUGGACACUUGGGCAUUUGGGCAUUUGAUCAUGAAAGUUGUCAACAGGAAAUGGGCACUGUGAUAAAGUGAGAUGAGCCUGGCAGCGGCUAUGUGUGUCUAGAAAUAGGAUGUCAUGUGCCAUGCUGCCUGUCUCCACCCUUUACCACAGAUGCAGGUGUCCUGGUAUCUCAGCAGCAAUGCACUCUUUGGGGGAGUGCCAAGCGUACUUGGAAUCCCAGUGUCAUCCCUAGUAUGGUAACCCAGUGUCAACACUCAGACAAAGCCAACCCUUGGCAAGUGCCAGUCAAUUAAAAAAAAAAAAAACAACAUUUUUUUUUUUCCAGGAAGAGACAUUGAGAGCCCAGAGAUGUGGCUGAGAUUUCCGAGUAGUUUCCUGAGCCUGGCUGUCUGGACCUCUCCACUUCAGCCGGAAACAAGGACUAAAAGGCACCAGAGUGGCCCGGACUACAAUGAAACAACAAUCAACUCCAGGACGUGGCAGCACCCCCAACCUCCCAAAGACGAUCAACGCCCCAGGCCAGCAGGAAGCAGCCUUAAGACAUCUUCGCCCCUACUUCCCUAACCUGCCACGCCCAAUUCUCUAACUUUUAUAAUAAACAACAGCUGGGAUUGUAAGAACAAAACACCUGGAUGACCCUAACCCCGCCCCCUAACAAGCGGGUACUCACUCACCCGCCAUGCCUUUCGACCUUUGCCCUACUGCGCAUAUGCAACCUUCCCUUUAAAAGGUCCUGCCCCACACCCCUCGCUCUCUCUUUCUCUCGGCUCCCCUGACUGCCCAUCCCCCCUUUCCCCCCUCUCUGAUAAAUAAACUCCACGUGGAUUGCUUAUCCGUUGUUCCUUUCUAUAUUAGCAGCUGCAGCUUAAACAAAAGAAUAACAGUGGUGAUACCUCCAGAAAUUCUUUUAUUGUAGAGGAUUGUUUUAGCUAUCCUGGGCUUCUGUUUCUCCAUAUGAAAUUGAGUACUGUCCUUUCAAGGUGAGUAAAGAAUUGUGAUGAGAUUUGGGGGGGAUUGCUUUGAAUCUGUAUUUUGCUUUUGGCAAGAUGGCCAUUUUGACUGCUAAUCUUACCGAUCCAUGAGCAAGGGAGAUUCUCCCCAUCUUCUGAUGCUUUUGAAGAGGAUGGAAGUGAGACUUGGGAAGGAAGGUGAGCUGAGGGUGAAGCAGAGUGCCCCAGCAAGUGCUCUGUCUGGUCCAGAGUUCUCUCCACAGUGAGGCCUUGCCUGGCCUCAAC
RNAcentral lists this long non-coding RNA (1241 nucleotides) under Cricetulus griseus (Chinese hamster). Its description in RNAcentral is "lncRNA (ENSCGRG00000026078.1)". The record is from RNAcentral. Lineage: Eukaryota; Metazoa; Chordata; Mammalia; Rodentia; Cricetidae.